Molecule: long non-coding RNA, 496 nt
Organism: Rattus rattus (black rat)
Lineage: Eukaryota; Metazoa; Chordata; Mammalia; Rodentia; Muridae
Exons: 2
Source: RefSeq, a predicted model, not a curated record
GGGGUGUUCUAUUUCAAAUGGAAGUUACAAGUAAAGGAGUUACGUGAAAUGACGUGGAAUGUGUCGACUUUGUUUUCUUUUGAGAUAUUAUCCUGUGUAGUCCAGGGCUACUACACAAUCUUGGUCUUUCCCGUAACCUCAUUGGUGCUGGGAGUAUAGUUAGGUGUGCACUAGCAGGCUAGCACAUGGGUAGUUAGGUAUGCACUAGCAGGCUAGCACAGGGGUAGUUAGGUGUGCACUAGCAGGCUAGCACAAGGGUAGUUAGCUGUGCACUAACAGGCUAGCACAGGGGUAGUUAGCUGUGCACUAGCAGGCUAGCACAGGGGUUUUUAUGUUUGAGCACCUUUAGUUUUUUCACUACAACUGAAGGUUUACUGUUUAGCUGAGACUGUAUGUGUUGAAAUAGUUGGAACUGUAUAGUUAAUAGAUACUGGGUUGCCAAAAUUUUCCUACCAGUCUUUGAUGGGAUUAGACAAUAGGUAUAAUGUAUAUUAAG